GCCGAACCGAGCGAACGUUGUUCGGAAUCACUGGGCUUAAAGGGCGCGUAGGCGGGUGAUCAAGUCCGGGGUGAAAUCCUCCAGCUCAACUGGAGAACUGCCUCGGAUACUGGUUGCCUCGAGGAAGGUAGGGGUGUGUGGAACGUUCAGUGGAGCGGUGAAAUGCAUUGAUAUUGAACGGAACUCCGGUGGCGAAGGCGACACACUGGACCUUUUCUGACGCUGAGGCGCGAAAGCUAGGGGAGCAAACAGG
RNAcentral lists this ribosomal RNA (253 nucleotides) under uncultured bacterium. RNAcentral's name for it is "partial 16S ribosomal RNA". It matches the Rfam family "Bacterial small subunit ribosomal RNA", at positions 524 to 776 of the family's 1533-position model. The record is from RNAcentral.